RNAcentral lists this long non-coding RNA (348 nucleotides) under Prunus persica (peach). RNAcentral describes it as "long non-coding RNA (PPER_LNC006224)". Lineage: Eukaryota; Viridiplantae; Streptophyta; Magnoliopsida; Rosales; Rosaceae. The record is from RNAcentral.
CCUUCGACCAUGAUGGAUUCCAAAUUAGCAUGACACUUGUGAAGGCUUGCCUCAGACAUGGUGAAGUUGACAACAACGACGCAUGUUUAGGAGGGAUCCAUUUCAUGCGUUUGAUGUUGCAAAGGUAGGAACAAGCAUAGGCCAACAUUCUAAUAUGAUGAGGCUUCAUGUUUGAUUCCUACACUAAGCAAGCAUGGUGGGCUAGGACUUAAUUAGUACAAUGGGACUUCACGAUAACAUUCGGGGGUCAUUUGCUAGAGGCCAAAUGAAAUGGGUAAUCACAUCAAGAUGUGAAGAGGCAAGCGUACCUUCUCUUUAUUGUCCGAAGUAUCCUCCACUUCAAAAUCA